Oncorhynchus kisutch (coho salmon) is the source of this 2770-nucleotide long non-coding RNA. Lineage: Eukaryota; Metazoa; Chordata; Actinopteri; Salmoniformes; Salmonidae. The record is from Ensembl.
GACACGUGACAUCCCGGCAAUUUUGAGGGGGAAAAAAAACACUUUUUAUUGGAGUUGCCUCUAGAUGGACAUGCAUAUUCAUUCAUGUGAUGGGGCAGUUGCAUAGCGUAGAAAGGAUAGGCGGGAACUCCCAUUUUUAGGGCGGAGAGACAUGUAUCUUGUCAGUAUAUCCAUUAUUUUUGGCUAAAUACAAACGAGAUAAUCCCGUGUUGAAAUGGAUUGAGAUUACGUCAACUAAAAAACGAUAGAUUUUUUGCCACACCUAUCAGUCAUUGAGAUAUAUAUGAAUAAUUAUAUGUUCGUGGAUUUCAUUGUUUUUUUUUAGCUCGCCAUGACUCUGAGCAUGUCUCCGGCUGCGGUGUGCCAGUGCUUUACGCUGGUGUCACUGUGCACAUCCAUCGCCGACCCAAACUGGAUCCAAGUCAUGAACAACACUGACCCUGGAGGCAAACAGCUCAUCUAUGGUGUGGCUUUCAUACUGCAUGCUCCCCAGAACCUCACUGACACAGGUCCCCUGGGUGGUGUAAAUGGCUGGGGGGUGUGGCUGCUCUAUGCCCUGGCGGCUCUGUGCUACAGUGCUGUCCUGCUCUCCAGCUCCUCCUUCCUAUUGGACUUUCUGGGGACUGGGAUGUCCCACCCUCGACUGGUGGUGUUACUCCACAUCUCCACAGUGGUUCUCCUCCUGUCUGUUCUGGGAAUGUGUGGGGCCUGCCUGUACAUCAUCCACUGCAACCUUCAGGAGGGCAAGCUUGGGCCACUGUGGGAAUGGGUGGGGGGCUGGACCUGGCCUGGGUCUGGCUCCAGGAGCCAGGGAGGGGUGGCGGGGAUGAAGCCUUACCCAGGGGAGAGCUUCUACAUCACCAUGCUGGGCCUGCUCUUCUCCUGCCUGGCCGGUGUGAUCAGCCUGAGCACCCUGGGGGACCCCACCUCCACCCAGAGGGACUACACAGCUGUGGUGGAGUGGGAUGACAGUGACACAGAGCCCCUUACCCCCAGGGAGCAGGGAGUGGGACAGUCUGACGAAGAGGAGGGGGUAGGAGACGUGUUGCCUGAAAUUACUCAGGGGGAGGUGGGUGGAAGUGGAGACUCCUAAAGGGGUUUCUCAGACCACUAGAGGUAGAGGUUUGAAUGUGUGGCCCAAAAUGGCUUAGUUUCGGGCUAGAAUGAAAACCAGGACCACACCACACAUGGCCUGUAACAGACUUAAUUAGACAGCAGUGCUGGCGCCUUCCCUGUUCAUGUUUUGAAUCCCUAUUGCUUCACUGGACCAAGCUGGUGGAAUCCAGCCAGGAGCCAAAAAAGAGACCAGAUACGUUUCCUAAUGUUGUUUUAAUGUUUGUCUGCCUAAAACAUGCCUUCUCGGGGUAUGUACAGUUGCACAACAUCAAGUCAAUAACCCAUUUACCCAUUUUUCCUUGUGGGAGUUUAUGCCCAGCGUCUCACACUUGACCCGACCAAGAUAAAUCGUUCUUUGGCUAGCUGUGAUAUUUGGAAAAGUGUGACAAGAAUGUAACACGGUUAAGCUAUUUCUGUCUGUGUGUGACCAGGGAAAGUGAGAGUCUGUAUGUUAUAAUUGAUGUGUGAUGCAAAUGAUAUGCCCUUCCUGCUCAUCAAUGGGAACAAGCUUUGACCCUGUUCACAUUACUGCAAAAUAACCACUGGGGAAUGUUCCGGAUCAGCGAAUGGUUUGUAACAGUUCAGAACCAGAAAAUAUGUUCAAUGAGCAGAAGUUCAGACUGCUUAACAUUGCGAUCCUAACACAGUACAAUCACCUAUUCUCCUCUUCUAGUUAACAUAAAAAUCCCUAGAGAAAGGUUUUUCUGAUUAUUUUCUUUUUAACAGGUUGUUUUUUAACGUAUGCAUUAUUUGAACUUCUUAAACCCUUUGCACAGUCUUCCAUAGUGACACUUUAAGUUUAAUCACAGAUUUCUAUGGAAGAUUUACCUGAAGUAUACUGAAACUGGAGUUUCCUCUGAGAAAUUCCAUUUAAAAAGCCCAUUUGGCUUCUAUUAUGGCCACUAUAGCUUUAAUCACAAAUUGAGGAACUAUUUAUUAGCAUGGUUGUUUACUACUAUAGGAAAGAUUGAGUGGGAAUAUGAAGUCUUUCCUUUCCACAGUAGGUAGUGUAAAUACAUGGCUCUUGCCUUUAAAUGACUUGCUAUCUAGUCAUAUUUGAAUAUGAUGUAUUAAAUAUUUGAUGUGCUUAAAUAUUUAUUGUUUCAUAAAAUGACACUGCUAUUGGUCACUAGAUACCUCAGAUCACUGUGAAAAUAUAUCCCAGUUUGGCAUCUUUAGGCGUCUACAUUACAGCACAAACCACUGUAUGUAUGCAUAUCCUACUUGAAGGUAACCAAUAAGACAAGCUCCUUGAUGGCGCUUGGUUGCAUGUGACGGUAGGGCCAUGGAUAUCGACUUGAUAAAUUAAGAUGUCUGCCUAGAAUCAGGUUUUCCUUACCCGCUUAUACCCUCAAGGCCUUUUUCCUGGACACAGAUUAAUCUUAGUCCUGGACUAGGAAACAUUUUCAAUGGAGAUUUUCGAUGGAGGUUUUUAGUUCAAGACUAGGCUUAAUAUGUGUCUGGGAAACCGUCCCUCAAUCUUUUCCUCAGGUACAUAGGAAGACGUUCCUUCUCUUAUUCCAGGGUCACAGUCCCAUCUCUAUGAAUCCGACUUUUCAUUGUUGUUGUUUAUGAUGCUAUUUAUUCAUUAAACUACUUUUGCGUAUUUGUAAAACAUGUGUACAUGCAUUUUCUUUUUGUUCCAGAACAGAAG